AUGGAUUUUUUUUCAUAA
RNAcentral lists this small RNA (18 nucleotides) under Arabidopsis thaliana (thale cress). RNAcentral describes it as "ATSL056950". Lineage: Eukaryota; Viridiplantae; Streptophyta; Magnoliopsida; Brassicales; Brassicaceae. The record is from RNAcentral.